CUCCACCUCCUCCGCCGCUUCCUCCGCCCCAGCAGCACCCGUCAACAAGCAUCAAGUCGCCGUCUCAGCCAGCACCUUCUCUUCCUCCACGCCAUCAACGCGAUCGAAGCUAGGACGGCCGCGUCCACAGCGCGUCUCCAGCCGUCCGCGACCCGUUCCCAUCCAUCUGCGACCAAAUCCCCGCGCCUCAGCCCGCGCCGCCCUCCUUCC
RNAcentral lists this long non-coding RNA (210 nucleotides) under Phoenix dactylifera (date palm). Its description in RNAcentral is "long non-coding RNA (PDAC_LNC011583)". The record is from RNAcentral. Lineage: Eukaryota; Viridiplantae; Streptophyta; Magnoliopsida; Arecales; Arecaceae.